RNAcentral lists this ribosomal RNA (297 nucleotides) under uncultured bacterium. Its description in RNAcentral is "partial 16S ribosomal RNA". It matches the Rfam family "Bacterial small subunit ribosomal RNA", at positions 337 to 651 of the family's 1533-position model. The record is from RNAcentral.
UCCUACGGGAGGCAGCAGUGGGGAAUAUUGGGCAAUGGGCGCAAGCCUGACCCAGCAACGCCGCGUGAAGGAAGAAGGUCUUCGGAUUGUAAACUUUUGUCUUAUGGGACGAUAAUGACGGUACCAUAGGAGGAAGUCACGACUAACUACGUGCCAGCAGCCGCGGUAAUACGUAGGUGGCAAGCGUUGUCCGGAUUUACUGGGUGUAAAGGGCGUGUAGCCGGGCUGACAAGUCAGAUGUGAAAUCCGGGGGCUCAACCCCCGAACUGCAUUUGAAACUGUUGGUCUUGAGUAUCG